GUCUUGUAAUUGGAAUGAUGGUGACGUAAAAUCUCACCAGAGUAACAAUUGGAGGGCAAGUCUGGUGCCAGCAGCCGCGGUAAUUCCAGCUCCAAUAGCGUAUAUUAAACUUGUUGCAGUUAAAAAGCUCGUAGUUGAAUUUCUGCGUUGCCCGACUCGGCUACUUGCCUUGUCUGGUUUCGCUUUUGGGGUUUUCCCCUUUUUACUUUGAGAAAAUUAGAGUGUUUCAAGCAGACUUGUGUCUUGAAUACUUCAGCAUGGAAUAAUAAAGUAGGACUUUGGUUCUAUUUUGUUGGUUUGUGAACCUUAGUAAUGGUUAAUAGGAACGGUUGGGGGCAUUCGUAUUUAACUGUCAGAGGUGAAAUUCUUAGAUUUGUUAAAGACGAACUACUGCGAAAGCAUUUGCCAAGGACGUUUUCAUUAAUCAAGAACGAAAGUUAGGGGAUCGAAGACGAUCAGAUACCGUCGUAGUCCUA
RNAcentral lists this ribosomal RNA (476 nucleotides) under Babesia gibsoni. RNAcentral describes it as "SSU rRNA". It matches the Rfam family "Eukaryotic small subunit ribosomal RNA", at positions 500 to 1028 of the family's 1831-position model. Lineage: Eukaryota; Apicomplexa; Aconoidasida; Piroplasmida; Babesiidae. The record is from RNAcentral.